UUUAAAUCUAGAUUAUUAGUAGAUAUAUUCUUGAAAAUCAAAGAAUUUGGCGGUAUCUUAAUCUUAUUAGAGGAACCUGUUUUAUAAACGAUAAACCACGAAAAAUCUUAUUUGUUUUAAAUAGUUUGUAUACCGUCAUUAUUAGAUAAUUUUGGAAAAAUUAAUUAUUGGAAUUAAAUUUAAAAGUUUUAAAUAUAUUAGAUCAAGGUGCAGCUUAUANACAAGAAAAGAAUGGGUUACAAUAAAUUAAUUUAAAUGGAAGAUAUUCUUAAAUGANUUUCUGAAGGCGGAUUUAAUUGUAUAUUUAAAUUUAAUAUGAUAAAUAGAAAUUGGCUCUAAGAUAUGU
This 346-nucleotide ribosomal RNA is filed under the name Paguristes wassi. RNAcentral's name for it is "partial small subunit ribosomal RNA". Lineage: Eukaryota; Metazoa; Arthropoda; Malacostraca; Decapoda; Diogenidae. The record is from RNAcentral.